GAUGAACGCUGGCGGUAUGCUUAACACAUGCAAGUCGAACGGAAUCUUUAGGGAUUUAGUGGCGGACGGGUGAGUAACGCGUAAGAAUCUACCUUCAGGUUGGGGACAACCACUGGAAACGGUGGCUAAUACCCAAUGUGCCGAGAGGUGAAAGGCUUGCUGCCUGAAGAAGAGCUUGCGUCUGAUUAGCUAGUAGGUGAGGUAAGAGCUUACCUAGGCGACGAUCAGUAGCUGGUCUGAGAGGAUGAUCAGCCACACUGGGACUGAGACACGGCCCAGACUCCUACGGGAGGCAGCAGUGGGGAAUUUUCCGCAAUGGGCGAAAGCCUGACGGAGCAAUACCGCGUGAGGGAGGAAGGCUCUUGGGUUGUAAACCUCUUUUCUCAGGGAA
Molecule: ribosomal RNA, 391 nt
Filed under: uncultured bacterium
Lineage: Bacteria
Description: bacterial SSU rRNA
Rfam family: Bacterial small subunit ribosomal RNA
Source: RNAcentral